This 184-nucleotide small nuclear RNA is filed under the name Fusarium graminearum PH-1. RNAcentral describes it as "Gibberella zeae PH-1 U4 spliceosomal RNA". The stretch from base 1 to 134 matches the Rfam family "U4 spliceosomal RNA". Rfam says of the family: U4 small nuclear RNA (U4 snRNA) is a component of the major U2-dependent spliceosome. The structure of U4 snRNA from yeast and human has been reported. Lineage: Eukaryota; Fungi; Ascomycota; Sordariomycetes; Hypocreales; Nectriaceae. The record is from Rfam by way of RNAcentral.
AUCCGAGUGCAAGGGCGUUAUCCAUCUCAAUGAGGCUUUGCCGAGAGUGGAUUUUUGCUAGUUGAAAACUAUACACUGACCGCUCCUACUUGGGUUCGCCUGGGUAGGGAAUUUUUGGAACACUUUUCCUAUGGAAACUUUUCUUUCAUUGCGAUCGGUCCUUUAUGAACUGGCGCGAAGAAGG